CUCAUAAAUCUUGACUUCCUAGCACAAAGAAAUGCUGAUUUACCUGUAAUUUCCGAAAUGUCUUUGAACAAAUAAAAUUUCAUGUUGAAACCUGGAGCCUCAAGAAGCAGCUAGAUAACCAGGAAACAUGCAUUUCUUGGCUCCCUCCCAAACCUACAGAAAGGACAGUAAAUGAAUAAAAAGAUGUAACCUGAAGGACAGAGAAAAUCCAAGAGGCAUAGGCUGUGGAAACUGUCAUUUUUGGAAGAUACAACAUGCAGGGACAGUGAUGGCUACCUUGGCACAGAAUUUGAACACUGAAGUGCCCCCAGGGGGAGAUGCCAGCCAGACACAUUGGCCCCUGCUUCCCAAACAGGCUCAGAAGCCGAAGGCACAGGGUCUGGGAAGGCCACGAUGGGGGUAAAGACAGGAGUGCCAGGUGAGUGUCUAUAAGGAACCCUGAGACCCUCAUCCCCUGACCCCACGCUAUACAGACAAGUGACUGCUCUCCUCCUGCCCUGGCAGGAGACAUGAAGUUUAUUCAAAAUACAAGAACUAGAAAAGGAACAGGCCCCCAUCUGCAGCAUACACACACACACACACACUUUGGAUUCAACUUUUAAAUGGGGGGCUUGUUUCUGCCUGCCAUGUUCCCUUCCUUGAGAUGAGUUCUGUAUGCUCAAUAGAAUCACAGUUCUGAGUUCCCCAGUGUUUUUGUGGAGAGAUCACCACUGCCAUCUGAAGGUGGCAGAAAGGACCCCUGGGAAGGACUUUCGAUCACCCUGGCUCAGGAGUUUGGAUUUUAUCUGCUUACUCAAAGGUCCCAAACUAGUUCUGAGGCCCAGAACCACGGUUAAAAGAUGCUGCUUGGCCUGCAGACUUUAGAAACCGGUUGCAAACUGCCAGUACUUUAAAGGUAAGAGAUUUCACAUUUACACAUCUGGACUCCUGGCUUCUCUUGAGAAAUCUGAGAUGAGGUGUCUCUGGGCCGCAUUCCAGGUGCCAAUGAGGGGCUGGGUCACUAACACCAUUUAACAUACGAAUGGUGUUUCUGAACCUCCCUUAGACUGCCUGCUAGACUCCUACCCUCGGCUCCUACCCUCACUCAAGGUCCUCCCCUUAGGCAUCUGAGUUUUCCCUUCAGCCCUAAGCAAUGCAGAACCAUUAGAACUUCUUAAACAGAAGAGGGCUAGGAGUGGCUGUUUCAGCAGCAGCAAGGAAGGGUGGAUGAAUGAAUGGAUACAGAGGGAAGCUACUUGGAUUAGUUAGGAAGGCUAGGAAACCACAGC
Long non-coding RNA from Bos taurus (domestic cattle), 1268 nucleotides. The record is from Ensembl. NCBI's taxonomy places the organism in Eukaryota, Metazoa, Chordata, Mammalia, Artiodactyla, Bovidae.